GGAGUUAGCCGGUGCUUCUUCUGCGAGUAACGUCACAGAUGUAAGGUAUUAACUUACACCCUUUCCUCCUCGCUGAAAGUGCUUUACAACCCGAAGGCCUUCUUCACACACGCGGCAUGGCUGCAUCAGGGUUUCCCCCAUUGUGCAAUAUUCCCCACUGCUGCCUCCCGUAGGAGUCUGGGCCGUGUCUCAGUCCCAGUGUGGCUGAUCAUCCUCUCAGACCAGCUAGGGAUCGUCGCCUAGGUGAGCCUUUACCUCACCUACUAGCUAAUCCCACCUGGGCUUAUCCAUCAGCGCAAGGCCCGAAGGUCCCCUGCUUUCCCCCGUAGGGCGUAUGCGGUAUUAGCAGUCGUUUCCAACUGUUAUCCCCCACAAAUGGGCAAAUUCCCAGGCAUUACUCACCCGUCCGCCGCUCGUUACACUUCUAAACGAACGAACGACGUUUUCGUUUAAAGUAAGUUUACCGGUUACCGUCCGUACCGUUACGUUCGACUAGUUGUUUAGGGUUACCGUCGUCCGCCCGACGACGUUCCGUAACUACUUCGAACCGAAACCGAAGUACUAAACCUAACCUUCGACGUACGUAGGACGGGGCGGUCGGUCGGAACGGACGGCCGACUAAGUAG
RNAcentral lists this ribosomal RNA (626 nucleotides) under uncultured bacterium. RNAcentral's name for it is "partial 16S ribosomal RNA". The record is from RNAcentral.